Camellia sinensis is the source of this 466-nucleotide non-coding RNA. The record is from RefSeq and is a predicted model, not a curated record. Lineage: Eukaryota; Viridiplantae; Streptophyta; Magnoliopsida; Ericales; Theaceae.
UUUCUAUCCAUCGGGUCAGUGGGUUAAUUCUCCAUCGGGGAAUGGAUCGAGCUCAUUUCUCCGUAUGUUUUGACAUCCUGUUUACAGCUAGGGUUUUCUCACUCCCUCACUCCCACUCCCACUCCCGAUCAGAGUUCCAGCAUCGAAAGCAGCUAGAGAUCAGAGUUCUCCGGCGAUCUCGUUGGCGCUUAACACAGUUCUCCAGCGUGGAUGUUAAAGAGUUAAUAAUCUGUCUCUGAUUCAAUCCCAAUUUUUCCCCUUGAACUCAAGUGGAAGUUGAGUUCAUCGUUCUUAGCCGAUCUGUAGCAGCAAAAGUCAAUACGAAGGGUUCAAGUGUAUAGAUGGAGGACAAACCAUAACCGCCCAACCAGCUGGAAUGGUGUAACCUGCAUUUAUCCCAAUUUUUAUGCUAAGGUUCAAAAUCGAACAUGCCGUCUCUUCAAACAGCAUUGCCUCCUGAACUCGC